This 178-nucleotide non-coding RNA is filed under the name Nitrosomonadaceae bacterium. RNAcentral describes it as "6S RNA". It matches the Rfam family "6S / SsrS RNA". From Rfam's summary of the family: E. coli 6S RNA was the first non coding RNA to be sequenced, but its function was unknown until recently. The record is from RNAcentral. Lineage: Bacteria; Pseudomonadati; Pseudomonadota; Betaproteobacteria; Nitrosomonadales; Nitrosomonadaceae.
UGUUCCCUGCGGUGUUCGUUUAGGCUCAUAUUCUUUGAACCAUUCUUUGAGAAUUGGUUGCUAACCAUAGUGAUGCUGUUGUGCGCGUCCCAUGCGGAAGCGCCUGAUGCGUCCGGCAAGCGACCACCUUGGACCUUAAGGUUCAAGAUAAUGGCCUGACGGCAUUUGCGGGGGACUU